AAAAUUAGGAAAAAAAAAAAGUUCAGGAACCCAAAGUUUCAUAUCCCAUAAUAAACUUUAUCCUAGAAAUAAUUCUCCAAAAGCCCUUUCUUGCUUAUGCUUCGUUACACAGACCAAUGAUGUGUGUAAUAAGAAAAAGAACCACAUUAAGCUUACAAGAACAUGGGAGUUUGGUGGUGUUUAGUGCUGACACAGAACUUUUGCCCAAGUCAUUACCAUUACUAUUUAAAAGCUAAAUUAUAUUGUGAGAAGCCGCAAGGAACUAUUACCAGAAAUCCUCGAAAAGCUGUUU
Molecule: unclassified non-coding RNA, 292 nt
Filed under: Hevea brasiliensis (rubber tree)
Lineage: Eukaryota; Viridiplantae; Streptophyta; Magnoliopsida; Malpighiales; Euphorbiaceae
Source: RNAcentral